GGAUAUAGCUCAAUGGUAGAGCACUUGCCUAGCAUGUACGAGACCUGGAUUCAAUCCCCAGUACUG
This 66-nucleotide transfer RNA is filed under the name Marmota monax (woodchuck). Its description in RNAcentral is "tRNA.Ala". It matches the Rfam family "tRNA", at positions 6 to 65 of the family's 71-position model. From Rfam's summary of the family: Transfer RNA (tRNA) molecules are approximately 80 nucleotides in length. Their secondary structure includes four short double-helical elements and three loops (D, anti-codon, and T loops). Lineage: Eukaryota; Metazoa; Chordata; Mammalia; Rodentia; Sciuridae. The record is from RNAcentral.